AGUACGCUACGGCAGGCCCCAUACAUACAGUCGAGGGGCAGCAGGACACUUCGUCUGUUGCUGGCGACCGGCGCACGGGUGCGUAACACGUAUGUAAUCUGCCUUGUACUGGGGAAUAGCCCCUGGAAACGGGGAUUAAUACCCCAUAUUGUCUUAUCAGCGCACGCUGGCAAGAUGAAAGCUCCGGCGGUACAAGAUGAGCAUGCGUCCCAUUAGCUUGUUGGUGAGGUAAUAGCUCACCAAGGCUGCGAUGGGUAGGGGUUCUAAGAGGAAGAUCCCCCACACUGGCACUGAGAUACGGGCCAGACUCCUACGGGAGGCAGCAGUAGGGAAUAUUGGUCAAUGGGCGCAAGCCUGAACCAGCCAUGCCGCGUGCAGGAUGAAGGCCCUCAGGGUUGUAAACUGCUUUUGUAUGGGAAUAAAAAGCCCUUGAUGAGGGCUAUUGAACGGUACCAUAAGAAUAAGCACCGGCUAACUCCGUGCCACCAGCCGCGGUAAUACGGAGGGU
Molecule: ribosomal RNA, 508 nt
Filed under: uncultured bacterium
Lineage: Bacteria
Description: bacterial SSU rRNA
Rfam family: Bacterial small subunit ribosomal RNA
Source: RNAcentral